Molecule: long non-coding RNA, 349 nt
Organism: Hyaena hyaena (striped hyena)
Lineage: Eukaryota; Metazoa; Chordata; Mammalia; Carnivora; Hyaenidae
Exons: 2
Source: RefSeq, a predicted model, not a curated record
UAAAUGCGGAGAUGCCUCGGCUGGGAGCAGUCGGCCACCUCCCUCCGAGCGCUGGACGCUCUGCCGCCGGUCAGCCCUCCGCAACACAGAUUUGCUUAUUCCCAGCUACAGGAGCAAAAAGAUGAGAUGGAGGAAGAAUGUUGUUUUCCUAAGAGCACGUGACAGAAAGCACAUGAACUUCUCCCCAAGCUGAACUUUGACCAUCACAAGAGUGUCCCCAAAAAGCCAUAACUUUGCUGUCAGAUUCAGAUUGCUCCCGGAUGCUUUCCCCUGAGUUUUCAAUGAAUAUCAACUGAGGAAUGAGACAAAAAAAGCAUACUGUUAAUAAACAGGCAAUGGUCCAAGUCCA